GACGAACGCUGGCGGCGUGCCUAAUACAUGCAAGUCGAGCGCAGGAAACUGACGGAACUCUUCGGAGGGAAGGCAGUGGAAUGAGCGGCGGACGGGUGAGUAACACGUAAGGAACCCGCCUCAAGGAUUGGGAUAACUCCGAGAAAUCGGAGCUAAUACCGGAUAGUUCAACGGACCGCAUGGUCCGCUGAUGAAAGGCGCUCCGGCGUCACCUUGAGAUGGCCUUGCGGUGCAUUAGCUAGUUGGUGGGGUAACGGCCCACCAAGGCGACGGUGCAUAGCCGACCUGAGAGGGUGAUCGGCCACACUGGGACUGAGACACGGCCCAGACUCCUACGGGAGGCAGCAGUAGGGAAUCUUCCACAAUGGACGAAAGUCUGAUGGAGCAACGCCGCGUGAGUGAUGAAGGUUUUCGGAUCGUAAAACUCUGUUGUAAGGGAAGAACACGUACGAGAGGAAAUGCUCGUACCUUGACGGUACCUUACGAGAAAGCCACGGCUAACUACGUGCCAGCAGCCGCCGUAG
RNAcentral lists this ribosomal RNA (524 nucleotides) under uncultured bacterium. RNAcentral describes it as "partial 16S ribosomal RNA". It matches the Rfam family "Bacterial small subunit ribosomal RNA", at positions 28 to 523 of the family's 1533-position model. The record is from RNAcentral.